ACAAAGUUUUGGUCCUAAACUUGCCAUUAUUCCUAAUCAAGAUUAUACAUGCAAGCUUCCACACACCAGUGAGAAUGCCCAUUACCCCUAAACAGACCACCGGAGCAGGUAUCAGGCUCAAUUAAAAUUAGCCUACGACACCUUGCAAUGCCACACCCACACGGGACUUCAGCAGUAAUUAACAUUGGGCUAUGAACGAAAGUUCGACCCGGCUAUGAUUUAAAAAGUCGGUAAAUUCCGUGCCAGCCACCGCGGUUAUACGAAAGACUAAAAAUAAUGACCCCCGGCGUAAAGAGUGACCAAAGACGUAUCAACACUUUAAAGACAAACUACCAUAAAGCCGUGAAACGCUGCCAUGAGUAAGAAUCUGUAAUCUUUAAAUAAAAGAUCCACUUAAUUCACGAAAGUUAAGAAACAAACUGGGAUUAGAUACCCCACUAUGCUUAACCCUAAACACAGACAGUACCAACACAAUACUGUCCGCCAGAGGACUACAAGCGAAAAGCUAGAAACUCUAAGGACUUGGCGGUGCUCCACACCGACCUAGAGGAGCCUGUCCUAUAAUCGAUAUUCCACGUUUUACCUCACCAUCUUUUGCCAAUCAGCCUAUAUACCGCCGUCGUCAGCCCACCUUCUAAAAGACAAACAGUGGGCUCAAUAGUGUACAGCAAACACGUCAGGUCAAGGUGUAGCACAUAAGAUGGUAGAGAUGGGCUACAUUUUCUACUACAGAGCACACGAACGAGCAAGUGAAAUUAGCUCCGAAGGCGGAUUUAGCAGUCAGAUAAACAAGCAACAUUAUCUUAAACCCGCUCUGGAGCGCGCACACACCGC
RNAcentral lists this non-coding RNA (834 nucleotides) under Scelotes bipes. RNAcentral's name for it is "partial 12S ribosomal RNA". It matches the Rfam family "Bacterial small subunit ribosomal RNA". Lineage: Eukaryota; Metazoa; Chordata; Lepidosauria; Squamata; Scincidae. The record is from RNAcentral.